ACAUAUCCCUUUUUAUAUUCAAGCCAUUCCCUUGAUUUAUGCAAAACUAGGCUACCCAAAAUUUAUGGACAACUCCCAUUGCCUUUGAUCUGCUAGAACUAGCAUGUGUGGAUUGGCAAAAGUGCGAAUGCACUUGGCGUAAUUAGUAGCGGUGAGGAUCUCCCACAAUAUUGAUAAAACUCUAUAAAAUAGGAAAUAACUCAAAUUAUUAUCAUAAUAUGUUGUGUACUCUCUUGGGGCUGUGUAUUGGGGCUCAAUACACAGUCAUAUGGUUGUGUAUAUAGCUGAACAUGUAUAUACCCUUACCAUUGUGUAUAUUCUGCCAUAUGAGGAAUUUCCUACAUAUAUACCAUCAACAUGAUUGUUUUAUUUGUACACAGAGAUAGACAUGCUCUAGGGAGUAACAUGAAGAAAACGUAGAAUCAGUAUAUAUAGGGAGUAACAUGAAGAAAACAUAGAAACAGGUCCCCUGAAAAUGCAUAUGUUGAAGGCGAUGCAUCAAGUACGAGUUAUUUCCUAGCAGGCGCAGCAGUCACCAGUGGCACUGUCACAGUUGAAGGUUGCAGCACAAGAAGUUUACAGCAUCAUACUGGCUGCAGUUGCUUCUCGUAAGGAACACAUAAAUCUGGAGCAAUGGCUGAACGAAAAUCUGAGCACAUACAAGGAUACUUUUUUUGAGGAUUGCCUCAAGUUCUUAAAAGAAAUACCUUUUGCAGCAACAAAUGAUGCAUCUGCCAAUCCUUUCCAACAUUCCAGCUCUGUCAUAAAUCUUUAUCUAGAGACAAGUUCUACUCUUUUAAAGGUCCUUCAAGCCCAUUCUGGCCAGCUCAUCUCCCACCAACUUUCUAAGGAAUUGAGAAGGUUGCAGGCAUCAUCUGUGCAUGCUAAUCCAAGACUGCAAAAUGGUGGAGCUACAGAUUCAUCAACACAUGAUGCAUCAUAUCUAAUUAUUCACUGGUCUCUUCAGAUCAACAG
Molecule: RNA transcript, 975 nt
Organism: Magnolia sinica
Lineage: Eukaryota; Viridiplantae; Streptophyta; Magnoliopsida; Magnoliales; Magnoliaceae
Exons: 4
Source: RefSeq, a predicted model, not a curated record